UAGGGAAUCUUCGGCAAUGGACGAAAGUCUGACCGAGCAACGCCGCGUGAGUGAAGAAGGUUUUCGGAUCGUAAAACUCUGUUGUUAGAGAAGAACAAGGACGUUAGUAACUGAACGUCCCCUGACGGUAUCUAACCAGAAAGCCACGGCUAACUACGUGCCAGCAGCCGCGGUAAUACGUAGGUGGCAAGCGUUGUCCGGAUUUAUUGGGCGUAAAGCGAGGGCAGGCGGUUUCUUAAGUCUGAUGUGAAAGCCCCCGGCUCAACCGGGGAGGGUCAUUGGAAACUGGGAGACUUGAGUGCAGAAGAGGAGAGUGGAAUUCCAUGUGUAGCGGUGAAAUGCGUAUAUAUAUGGAGGAACACCAGUGGCGAAGGCGGCUCUCUGGUCUGUAACUGACGCUGAGGCUCGAAAGCGUGGGGAGCAAACAGG
Molecule: ribosomal RNA, 429 nt
Filed under: Gemmatimonadota bacterium
Lineage: Bacteria; Pseudomonadati; Gemmatimonadota
Description: Gemmatimonadetes bacterium partial 16S ribosomal RNA
Rfam family: Bacterial small subunit ribosomal RNA
Source: RNAcentral